This 511-nucleotide ribosomal RNA is filed under the name uncultured bacterium. RNAcentral's name for it is "bacterial SSU rRNA". It matches the Rfam family "Bacterial small subunit ribosomal RNA", at positions 15 to 507 of the family's 1533-position model. The record is from RNAcentral.
GAUCAUGGCUCAGGAUGAACGCUGGCGGCGUGCCUAAUACAUGCAAGUCGAGCGAAUGGAUUGAGAGCUUGCUCUCAAGAAGUUAGCGGCGGACGGGUGAGUAACACGUGGGUAACCUGCCCAUAAGACUGGGAUAACCCCGGAAACCGGGGCUAAUACCGGAUAAUAUUUUGAACUGCAUGGUUCGAAAUUGAAAGGCGGCUUCGGCUGUCACUUAUGGAUGGACCCGCGUCGCAUUAGCUAGUUGGUGAGGUAACGGCGCACCAAGGCAACGAUGCGUAGCCGACCUGAGAGGGUGAUCGGCCACACUGGGACUGAGACACGGCCCAGACUCCUACGGGAGGCAGCAGUAGGGAAUCUUCCGCAAUGGACGAAAGUCUGACGGAGCAACGCCGCGUGAGUGAUGAAGGCUUUCGGGUCGUAAAACUCUGUUGUUAGGGAAGAACAAGUGCUAGUUGAAUAAGCUGGCACCUUGACGGUACCUAACCAGAAAGCCACGGCUAACUACGUG